AAUCAUCGUUGCAUCUUCUGCCUUUUUCUAUUGCUUUUCACUCUUUUCCUCUCCGGUUAUUCUUUCGCUCUUUUUGGUUCUCGGCUUACGCCGUCGUUUGCUCCCUCUCGCUGUCUUCUCUGUCGAUGUGGUUUUGCAACUUCAUCAUUUUCCGGUUUUGUUGUUCUUCAAUUGAGGCUUUAUCUUUGCUGUUCUUCGAUUAUCUGUUAGAAUUGUUAAUUUCUGCUUCUAUUUGGUUGGGUUCGAAAUAUUUUUCUGCUCUUUUAAUCUGUCCUUUUCAAGAAAGUGUUGCAUGUUUCUAGCGGCAAGGUUUGCUUAUCCAAAAUACCUACUCAUCCUUGAAGCUUCAAUUUCCAUUUAAUUUUUCCCUGUUGAGACCUGGACUCUCGAAUGGAGAGGAUGAAAAGCAACUGCAGGAAAGCAGCGAUGGAGACCCGGCAGCAGCAUAGUCAAGUCGAUCUGGGGAUGAAUUAGUGAAGGAAUGUAUAACGAAAGGGACUGAGUUGGUUUAAGCUAUUGCGAAUAGUCUUUUCAACUCACAUUCAACUGAAGACAUAGACGGUCCCAUUGUGCAGUUGUUUGCUUCAUGAAACUAAACUGCCAAGAUAGAAGCAUAAGUGGAAUGGUAGUUUCAGGUGGACCGUAUUUGAUUGAGAAUAAAUGCCGUGCAAUAUCGAUUUUGGUAUGAAUGUUGGGGAUGAGGUGCUGUUUCAGAUUUUGUGUAUCUCAUUUUGGAAGUGAUUCAUAGGUGCUCUGUAAAGGUUUACACGAAUGAGCAUUGUACUAAUAUGUGACUUGAAGCCUCUUACAAACGAUAUGAAGAUCAUAGUUGGAAUAUGCCGAAUUUGGAGAACAGAAAUGUUUUGACGUCAGAACCAGUUCAAUACUUACAAUGUGUAUCGGUUGAUAAACUGGGUUCAUUUGGUGAAUCUGAAAAAUGUCAAAUGGUGUGGUACUUGGGUCGUUAAAACUGUUAUGAAGAGACUCAUAUGCAACCCUAAUAAUAUCUUCUUUGCUUCCUGUGCUAGCUCUCUAUGUCUCCAUCUCCAAAUAAUUCUUUGAAAGUUACAGGGCAUCCAGUAGCUCAGGUUGGCGAUCAGAGUAGCACAACACUACCACGCAAAAUUGUCUUUGGGGGGGUCUCAGAGAAGCAGAUUACACUGCAGUAGCAGUGCAGGACCUGGUGGGCCCGGAUUUGCUGGUUGAAAAUGACGUGGUCCUGAUCGUUGGCCACUUCCGCGACAGUUCCGAACGAUGGAUUCGGCUCCCAAGCUCCGACGAUUCUGUCUGUGGCAAAGAGAAUUUAGGAAGAGUGGAAGAUCCUGGAGAAGGAUUUGCCAG
Long non-coding RNA from Pyrus x bretschneideri (Chinese white pear), 1341 nucleotides. RefSeq lists it as uncharacterized. The record is from RefSeq and is a predicted model, not a curated record. The transcript has 13 exons. Lineage: Eukaryota; Viridiplantae; Streptophyta; Magnoliopsida; Rosales; Rosaceae.